Molecule: ribosomal RNA, 439 nt
Filed under: uncultured bacterium
Lineage: Bacteria
Description: partial 16S ribosomal RNA
Rfam family: Bacterial small subunit ribosomal RNA
Source: RNAcentral
CCUACGGGCGGCAGCAGUAGGGAAUAUUGCUCAAUGGGGGAAACCCUGAAGCAGCAACGCCGCGUGGAGGAUGAAGGUUUUCGGAUUGUAAACUCCUUUUGUUAGAGAAGAUAAUGACGGUAUCUAACGAAUAAGCACCGGCUAACUCCGUGCCAGCAGCCGCGGUAAUACGGAGGAUGCGAGCGUUACUCGGAUUUACUGGGUUUAAAGGGUGCGCAGGCGGUCUGUCAAGUCAGCGGUCAAAGCCCGGGGCUAAACCCUGGCCCGCCGUUGAAACUGGCAGUCUCGAGUUGGGGAGAAGUAUGCGGAAUGCGCGGUGUAGCGGUGAAAUGCGUAGAUAUCGCGAGGAACACCGAUUGCGAAGGCAGCAUGCCGGCUCCACACUGACGCUGAGGCACGAAAGCGUGGGUAGCGAACAGGAUUAGAUACCCCAGUAGUC